Long non-coding RNA from Dendroctonus ponderosae (mountain pine beetle), 2078 nucleotides. RefSeq lists it as uncharacterized. The record is from RefSeq and is a predicted model, not a curated record. Lineage: Eukaryota; Metazoa; Arthropoda; Insecta; Coleoptera; Curculionidae. The transcript is spliced from 2 exons.
AUGAAAAAGAGUUUAAAGAAAUCGGAUGCUUAAAAUGGCAAUAGAUCCUAAAAUCGUAUUAUUUUGCGCUGGUGGCAAUUGGUCAAAACACUUUAGGGUUGAAAUAAAAUUGAAUAUAACAUUUCUUCUUUAAUAGGCCUCCACUAUUUCCAGAUUUUCGUCCUUUUGACUUUUCACUUUUAUAUAUAAACGAGAUAUUUUGCUGUCAGAUCAGGUUUUUUUGCGGACUGGAAAUCUACAUUUCUUUGUUGAAAGAGUCACAUUUCUGAUUUUGCGUCUUGCUCGAUUUAAUUAGUUUUAUUGAUUUGAAUAAGCAAUUAAUUUGUUUAAAGAGAGUUGCAGAAAUUGAAUGUUGAAAAUUCACCAGAUCUUAAUAUCGCGUAGUAUUUUGUAUUUUGGGCUUCUGGGAAUUCGCCAACUUACUUAGAAUAUUUUUGUUUGGUACGCCUCCGCGGUUUCCAGAUUUGCGUCUCAUUGAUUUUUCAUUUUAAUGGGCAAACAGGAUUUUUUCUUUGUAAACCACAUUUUGCUGUAGGAAAAAUCCGGUUUCUGGGCCUUUUGCUAGAUUUUACUAGUUUCAUUUAUGUGUAGGUAUUAGAAAAAGUGUGCGGAUAUUGAAACUUGUAUAUUCAAUAAAUCGUAAAACUCGUUAUUUGAAAAGUUUAGAAAAUUCGUCAAAAUGCUUUGAAAAUGUUGUUCUUCAAAUAUCUAAUUCAACUUUGCAAUUCGUUUGAUGAUUAAAUCGAUGUGUCAAAUUCUUCGGAUAAAACAGCGCUUUUUGACUUAACUUAGCUGCAAAAAUGGCACUAUCUUAAGUCUGUGUCUCAUUUUUUAAGGACACUCUAUAGUGAACAUAUACUCAGAAAUUGAACUAAUUUAGAGGUUAAUUGACCAAAAAGCUACAAAAAAUUUGGCUGAUAUUUUUUUUGAGAAUUUGAAUUACAUUUUUGAAAAAAAUGCAGUUUCGGAUAAAACUCAAUUCUGGACGAUCGAAGAUUAAUUUGGGAUAAAACUAAAUAACGUUCUCGGCAAAUUAUUUAAUGAAAAUUCGAUAAAAGUAUGCCUAAGAACCUUUAAAAGGCUUUUAACUGGCCGAUUAAUCCGCUCUGGGAAUCUCUGUAAUGAAAGGCCCUUUCGGCCGACAACAUAAUAACAGGAAAUGCCCAAAUUCCUUGGAGAUUUAACCAGUUUUCAGAGGUGGAACAGUUUAGGAAACAUUUCGCAAACUGGCCUGCUUCAGCGUCGCAGACAAAUCGAAUUGUUUUUCAAUUUAUUUAAUUUUUUACGGUCUUUUAAUGGAAACUUGCAAGAAAUGAGUUUGGCAGGCAAAACGCGAAUUGCGUUAGCCCAAAUGAAUGUUUUCCACGUUAAACUUUGGCAAGAUCGGCGGGUUUUUUAUAUCGCUCGCAGAAAAAUAAAUCAUGAGCGAACAGAUAUUUUGGAAAGGACCAUGUUUUCGGUGCCCACUUUUGCCCAGCGGCUGCUAUUUUUUCCAGCCGUUCGCGUACUUCGUCCAAAUAACAACGGGUCUAUUUUCACAUUCAGACAACAAUGUUUAUGUAACCCGUUUUCAUUCACGUUGGCAUUCGCUCAAAAUUGUGAAAAUUAAAAUUGUUCUCUAACACCCUACAUACAGCCAAUUCCGAGCGAAAUUAAUUCAGUCCGCUUUGUGAAAUUAAAACACUCCAAGUUCCUGUGCAGUGACAAAAAAAAAAAAAAAAUGAUCGUUCUCAAUUACGAUCGAACCUAUGGGGCGAAGAUGAACUAUUCGAAUGAACAUCGCUAUUAUUUCGAUAAGUUCUUGAGCUUGUAUUGGCCCUUGCGGACCACUCGCUUCCCGUAUUUGCCUUAUGAUCUUUUGGAUUUGUGGCCCACCGAACACCAUUUGAGAAAAAUUCGAGUGAGAAACAACUUGUAUGGGCUGUAUUCACGGAACUGAAGAUCUAUGGGACCAGAACUAGCUUAUUCUGGGGUUUUAAACCCUUACAACUGUUGAUGUGAAACGAAAUUUUUUUGUCGUUGUAAAUUAACCAAUGCAAUGUAUUUAAUCGGAACAAUAAAUUAAGUUCUCUGUUAAA